GACGAACGCUGGCGGCGUGCCUAAUACAUGCAAGUAGAACGCUGAAGGAGGAGCUUGCUUCUCUGGAUGAGUUGCGAACGGGUGAGUAACGCGUAGGUAACCUGCCUGGUAGCGGGGGAUAACUAUUGGAAACGAUAGCUAAUACCGCAUAAUAUUGACUAUUGCAUGAUAGUCAGUUGAAAGGUGCAACUGCACCACUACCAGAUGGACCUGCGUUGUAUUAGCUAGUUGGUGGGGUAACGGCUCAACAAGGCGACGAUACAUAGCCGACCUGAGAGGGGGAUCGGCCACACUGGGAAGGAGACACGGCCCAGACUCCUACGGGAGGCAGCAGUAGGGAAUCUUCGGCAAUGGACGGAAGUCUGACCGGGCAACGCCGCGGGAGUGAAGAAGGGUUUCGGAUCGUAAAGAUCUGUUGUAAGAGAAGAACGAGUGUGAGAGUGGAAAGCUCACACUGUGACGGUAUCUUACCAGAAAGGGACGGCUAACUACGUG
This 495-nucleotide ribosomal RNA is filed under the name uncultured bacterium. Its description in RNAcentral is "partial 16S ribosomal RNA". It matches the Rfam family "Bacterial small subunit ribosomal RNA", at positions 28 to 507 of the family's 1533-position model. The record is from RNAcentral.